This 497-nucleotide ribosomal RNA is filed under the name uncultured bacterium. RNAcentral's name for it is "partial 16S ribosomal RNA". It matches the Rfam family "Bacterial small subunit ribosomal RNA", at positions 28 to 507 of the family's 1533-position model. The record is from RNAcentral.
GAUGAACGCUGGCGGCGUGCCUAAUACAUGCAAGUCGAGCGAACAGACGAGGAGCUUGCUCCUCUGACGUUAGCGGCGGACGGGUGAGUAACACGUGGAUAACCUACCUAUAAGACUGGGAUAACUUCGGGAAACCGGAGCUAAUACCGGAUAAUAUAUUGAACCGCAUGGUUCAAUAGUGAAAGACGGUUUUGCUGUCACUUAUAGAUGGAUCCGCGCCGCAUUAGCGAGUUGGUAAGGUAACGGCCUACCAAGGCGACGAUGCGUAGCCGACCUGAGAGGGUGAUCCGCCACACUGGAACUGAGACACGGUCCAGACUCCUACGGGAGGCAGCAGUAGGGAAUCUUCCGCAAUGGGCGAAAGCCUGACGGAGCCACGCCGCGUGAGUGAUGAAGGUCUUCGGGUCGUAAAACUCUGUUAUUAGGGAAGAACAAAUGUGUAAGUAACUAUGCACGUCUUGACGGUACCUAAUCAGAAAGCCACGGCUAACUACGUG